This 939-nucleotide long non-coding RNA is filed under the name Coturnix japonica (Japanese quail). RNAcentral describes it as "lncRNA (ENSCJPG00005003769.1)". Lineage: Eukaryota; Metazoa; Chordata; Aves; Galliformes; Phasianidae. The record is from RNAcentral.
UCCAGGUACCUGUCUGGAAGAGAAGAACUACAUACCCCAGGGGGCUUUGCAGUCAGAGAGGAGAUAUAAUUCCUGGCAAGGUCACCUGAUUGCUCUCUUCUCUCUUCCCCUUCGCUUCACUUGGCUUCUGCCCGUCCCAAAUGCAUGCAUCAUUUCAGCGUUAGCGUAAGGCCUUCGGUUCAUAAUAUUUGAUUCAUUACCUUCAAUUCUAGGUAUAUUGUAUUAUAGUGUGUUAUCUUACUUUUCAAUACCAUAUUUAGUAAAUUCAUUUUUUUCUCCUGAUUAGUUGCUGCUGUUUUUAAUUAUUUUGGGGUCACCUAUUUCCCUUUUCCAGAGAUGCGGAUUCUGUGAAAUCCCUUCAUCCCACUAGUCAUGGAACCAGGCCCAACCAGCCUGUAAACCAUUGACAGCAAGGAUUAAAGCAGUAUGUAAAAUAGCGCAGGAUGUCUACCCAGGGCUGAGGUGUCACCUCUGAAUUAAGUCCACAAAGAACAAACCAAUUCUGAACAUACUGCUGUAAAUCCUUGUGGGACACAGUAUGGGAGCCCUUCCAGGAUGUGACCUUUAGAUAUUGACAGAGGAGUUGUAUAUGCAUAUAUUCUCAUAUGGCAAGGGGAACGAUGGGCACAGGAGAGAAGGAAACUGCACCCAGCAUAACAGGGAUAGUAAAAUCGGGUGACCAUUACAAUAUCUGCACUGAGAAAAUUUGAUCCUUUUGCCCUUCCCCAUACCAGCAACAUCUCAGCCUGGAAGCUGCAGGUGAAGGUAAGAAGAGCGGCGCAGUUUAAAGGUGGGCAAAUCCUGUGGUCCGGGCCGGGUAAGGUGUUGAACGCAGGAAAUAUGGCAUGCAGAGUGUAAAGAAUUUUGGAAUUAGCAUAAAAAAAAUUGCAUGAAGAAGUAGACAAUCCAGAGAGUUAAUAAACAAAAUCAAAUGUAACA